ACCUGGCUGGCUCAGUGGGUUAAGCGUCUGACUUCAGCUCAGGUCAUGAUCUCACGGUUCGUGAGUUCGAGCCCCAUGUCGGGCU
RNAcentral lists this transfer RNA (85 nucleotides) under Felis catus (domestic cat). It matches the Rfam family "tRNA". Rfam says of the family: Transfer RNA (tRNA) molecules are approximately 80 nucleotides in length. Their secondary structure includes four short double-helical elements and three loops (D, anti-codon, and T loops). Further hydrogen bonds mediate the characteristic L-shaped molecular structure. tRNAs have two regions of fundamental functional importance: the anti-codon, which is responsible for specific mRNA codon recognition, and the 3' end, to which the tRNAs corresponding amino acid is attached (by aminoacyl-tRNA synthetases). tRNAs cope with the degeneracy of the genetic code in two manners: having more than one tRNA (with a specific anti-codon) for a particular amino acid; and 'wobble' base-pairing, i.e. permitting non-standard base-pairing at the 3rd anti-codon position. Lineage: Eukaryota; Metazoa; Chordata; Mammalia; Carnivora; Felidae. The record is from Rfam by way of RNAcentral.